RNAcentral lists this transfer RNA (67 nucleotides) under Rhithropanopeus harrisii. Its description in RNAcentral is "tRNA-Gln". Lineage: Eukaryota; Metazoa; Arthropoda; Malacostraca; Decapoda; Panopeidae. The record is from RNAcentral.
UAUAUAUUGGUGUGAAUUGCAUAAAAAGUUUUGAUCUUUUAGGGAAUGGUGGAAGUCCGUUAUAUAU